CCCCUCUCAGGGUCACACCUGGAGAGCUUCCAGUACUCUACCGGUCUUGGCUACUGGGGGGAGAGUCAAGCAGAGUUAUAUCCAUUCCAUUCCUAGCUUGGCCAGUGGCUAGGGAGUGGAGGGCAAUCUACUACAAGU
This is a small nucleolar RNA of Tachyglossus aculeatus (Australian echidna), 138 nucleotides long. The record is from RefSeq and is a predicted model, not a curated record. NCBI's taxonomy places the organism in Eukaryota, Metazoa, Chordata, Mammalia, Monotremata, Tachyglossidae.